GAUGAACGCUGGCGGCAUGCCUAAUACAUGCAAGUCGAACGAGAGGAAGGAAAGCUUGCUUUUCUGAAUCUAGUGGCGAACGGGUGAGUAACACGUAGGUAACCUGCCCAUGUGCCCGGGAUAACUUCUGGAAACGGAUGCUAAAACCGGAUAGGUAGCAGACAAGCAUUUGACUGCUAUUAAAGUGGCUAAGGCCAUGAACAUGGAUGGACCUGCGGUGCAUUAGCUAGUUGGUGAGGUAACGGCCCACCAAGGCGACGAUGCAUAGCCGGGCUGAGAGGGCAGACGGCCACAUUGGGACUGAGACACGGCCCAAACUCCUACGGGAGGCAGCAGUAGGGAAUUUUCGUCAAUGGGGGGAACCCUGAACGAGCAAUGCCGCGUGAGUGAGGAAGGUCUUCGGAUCGUAAAGCUCUGUUGUAAGAGAAAAACGACAUUCAUAGGGAAUGAUGAGUGAGUGAUGGUAUCUUACCAGAAAGUCACGGCUAACUACGUGCCAGCCGCCGCAGUAA
Molecule: ribosomal RNA, 512 nt
Filed under: uncultured bacterium
Lineage: Bacteria
Description: partial 16S ribosomal RNA
Rfam family: Bacterial small subunit ribosomal RNA
Source: RNAcentral